AUUGAACGCUGGCGGCAGGCUUAACACAUGCAAGUCGAACGGCAGCACAGUAGAGCUUGCUCUCUGGGUGGCGAGUGGCGGACGGGUGAGGAAUACAUCGGAAUCUACUUUUUCGUGGGGGCUAACGUAGGGCAACUUACGCUAAUCUCGCAUACGACCUACGGGUGAAAGCAGGGGAUCAUAGGACCUUGCGCGAUUGAAUGAGCCGAUGGCGGAUUAGCUAGUUGGCGGGGUAAAGGCCCACCAAGGCGACGAUCCGUAGCUGGUCUGAGAGGAUGAUCAGCCACACUGGAACUGAGACACGGUCCAGACUCCUACGGGAGGCAGCAGUGGGGAAUAUUGGACAAUGGGCGCAAGCCUGAUCCAGCCAUACCGCGUGGGUGAAGAAGGCCUUCGGGUUGUAAAGCCCUUUUGUUGGGAAAGAAAUCCAGCUGGUUAAUACCCGGUUGGGAUGACGGUACCCAAAGAAUAAGCACCGGCUAACUUCGUGCCAGCCGCCGCCGUAA
This 506-nucleotide ribosomal RNA is filed under the name uncultured bacterium. RNAcentral describes it as "partial 16S ribosomal RNA". It matches the Rfam family "Bacterial small subunit ribosomal RNA", at positions 30 to 523 of the family's 1533-position model. The record is from RNAcentral.